This 478-nucleotide ribosomal RNA is filed under the name uncultured bacterium. RNAcentral's name for it is "partial 16S ribosomal RNA". It matches the Rfam family "Bacterial small subunit ribosomal RNA", at positions 28 to 523 of the family's 1533-position model. The record is from RNAcentral.
GACGAACGCUGGCGGCGUGCUUAACACAUGCAAGUCGAACGGUAAGGCCCUUCGGGGUACACGAGUGGCGAACGGGUGAGUAACACGUGGGUGAUCUGCCCUGCACUUCGGGAUAAGCCUGGGAAACUGGGUCUAAUACCGGAUAGGACCACUGCCUGCAUGGGUGGUGGUGGAAAGCUUUUGCGGUGUGGGAGGGGCCCGCGGCCUAUCAGCUUGUUGGUGGGGUGAUGGCCUACCAAGGCGACGACGGGUAGCCGGCCUGAGAGGGUGACCGGCCACACUGGGACUGAGAUACGGCCCAGACUCCUACGGGAGGAAGCAGUGGGGAAUAUUGCAUAAUGGGCGCAAGCCUGAUGCAGCGACGCCGCGUGAGGGAUGACGGCCUUCGGGUUGUAAACCUCUUUCAGCACCGACGAAGCGCAAGUGACGGUAGGUGCAGAAGAAGGACCGGCCAACUACGUGCCAGCCGCCGCAGUAA